ACGAACGCUGGCGGCGUGCUUAACACAUGCCAGUCGAACGGAAAGGCCCUGCUUUUGUGGGGUGCUCGAGUGGCGAACGGGUGAGUAACACGUGAGUAACCUGCCCUUGACUUUGGGAUAACUUCAGGAAACUGGGGCUAAUAUCGGAUAGGAGCUCCUGCUGCAUGGUGGGGGUUGGAAAGUUUCGGCGGUUGGGGAUGGACUCGCGGCUUAUCAGCUUGUUGGUGGGGUAGUGGCUUACCAAGGCUUUGACGGGUAGCCGGCCUGAGAGGGUGACCGGCCACAUUGGGACUGAGAUACGGCCCAGACUCCUACGGGAGGCAGCAGUGGGGAAUACUGCACAAUGGGCGGAAGCCUGAUGCAGCAACGCCGCGUGCGGGAUGACGGCCUCCGGGUUGUAAACCGCUUUCGCCUGUGACGAAGCGUGAGUGACGGUAAUGGGUAAAGAAGCACCGGCUAACUACGUG
This 467-nucleotide ribosomal RNA is filed under the name uncultured bacterium. Its description in RNAcentral is "partial 16S ribosomal RNA". It matches the Rfam family "Bacterial small subunit ribosomal RNA", at positions 29 to 507 of the family's 1533-position model. The record is from RNAcentral.